This 554-nucleotide ribosomal RNA is filed under the name uncultured Providencia sp. RNAcentral's name for it is "bacterial SSU rRNA". It matches the Rfam family "Bacterial small subunit ribosomal RNA", at positions 1 to 572 of the family's 1533-position model. Lineage: Bacteria; Pseudomonadati; Pseudomonadota; Gammaproteobacteria; Enterobacterales; Morganellaceae. The record is from RNAcentral.
UCGGCUUAGAGUUUGAUCAUGGCUCACAUUGAACGCUGGCGGGGCCUAACACAUGCAAGUCGAGCGGUAGGGAAGCUUGCUUCUCACGAGCGGCGGACGGGUGAGUAAUGUAUGGGGAUCUGCCCGAUAGAGGGGGAUAACUACUGGAAACGGUAGCUAAUACCGCAUAAUCUCUAAGGAGCAAAGCAGUUCGUUGCGCUAUCGGAUGAACCCAUAUGGGAUUAGCUAGUUGGUGAGGUAAUGGCUCACCAAGGCGACGAUCCCUAGCUGGUCUGAGAGGAUGAUCAGCCACACUGGGACUGAGACACGGCCCAGACUCCUACGGGAGGCAGCAGUGGGGAAUAUUGCACAAUGGGCGCAAGCCUGAUGCAGCCAUGCCGCGUGUAUGAAGAAGGCCUUAGGGUUGUAAAGUACUUUCAGUUGGGAGGAAGGCGUUGAUUAAUAUCAGCGAUUGACGUUACCAACAGAGAAGCACCGGCUAACUCCGUGCCAGCAGCCGCGGAAAUACGGAGGGUGCAAGCGUUAAUCGGAAUUACUGGGCGUAAAGCGCACGC